Molecule: long non-coding RNA, 347 nt
Organism: Etheostoma cragini (Arkansas darter)
Lineage: Eukaryota; Metazoa; Chordata; Actinopteri; Perciformes; Percidae
Exons: 3
Source: RefSeq, a predicted model, not a curated record
CAAAUCAUAAUUUAAAGGUGCACUAUGAGUUCCUGCCUGGUUUUGGCGCAAUUUCAUUUUUGUCUCAAAUCGUAGGCCUUUCUUCUUGAUCCACUAGCUGCUUGCUCCCUGAAUACACCGUGAAAAAUCCCGGUCUUGGGAGACAACACAGGGGUUGUAAACGUCAAACAAACACUAGGGGCACAGGCUGUGCACCAAAAUACAACAAAGCAGGUUUUUCGCAAUGUGUUCAGGAAGCAGGCCGCUAGCGGAUCAGGGAGAGAGGCCUACGAUUUGAGACAACAAUGAAAUCGUGCUGAAACCAUGCAGGAACUCAUUGUGCACCUUUAACUGAGUGAACACACACA